Molecule: ribosomal RNA, 253 nt
Filed under: uncultured bacterium
Lineage: Bacteria
Description: partial 16S ribosomal RNA
Rfam family: Bacterial small subunit ribosomal RNA
Source: RNAcentral
GACAGAGGGGGCAAGCGUUGCUCGGAAUUACUGGGCGUAAAGGGCGCGUAGGCGGGAUGGCAAGUCGGUCGUGAAAUCCCUCGGCUCAACUGAGGAUCGUCGAUCGAUACGGCCGUUCUUGAGGAUUGCAGAGGAGACUGGAAUUCCCGGUGUAGCGGUGAAAUGUGUAGAGAUCGGGAGGAACACCGGUGGCGAAGGCGGGUCUCUGGGCAAUUCCUGACGCUCAUGCACGAAAGCGUGGGGAGCAAACAGG